RNAcentral lists this ribosomal RNA (581 nucleotides) under Streptomyces sp. YIM 100587. RNAcentral's name for it is "bacterial SSU rRNA". It matches the Rfam family "Bacterial small subunit ribosomal RNA", at positions 57 to 656 of the family's 1533-position model. The record is from RNAcentral. Lineage: Bacteria; Bacillati; Actinomycetota; Actinomycetes; Kitasatosporales; Streptomycetaceae.
GCAGUCGAACGAUGAAGCCUUUCGGGGUGGAUUAGUGGCGAACGGGUGAGUAACACGUGGGCAAUCUGCCCUUCACUCUGGGACAAGCCCUGGAAACGGGGUCUAAUACCGGAUAAUACUUUCUCCUGCAUGGGGGAGGGUUGAAAGCUCCGGCGGUGAAGGAUGAGCCCGCGGCCUAUCAGCUUGUUGGUGGGGUGAUGGCCUACCAAGGCGACGACGGGUAGCCGGCCUGAGAGGGCGACCGGCCACACUGGGACUGAGACACGGCCCAGACUCCUACGGGAGGCAGCAGUGGGGAAUAUUGCACAAUGGGCGGAAGCCUGAUGCAGCGACGCCGCGUGAGGGAUGACGGCCUUCGGGUUGUAAACCUCUUUCAGCAGGGAAGAAGCGUGAGUGACGGUACCUGCAGAAGAAGCGCCGGCUAACUACGUGCCAGCAGCCGCGGUAAUACGUAGGGCGCAAGCGUUGUCCGGAAUUAUUGGGCGUAAAGAGCUCGUAGGCGGCUUGUCGCGUCGGAUGUGAAAGCCCGGGGCUUAACCCCGGGUCUGCAUUCGAUACGGGCAGGCUAGAGUGUGGUAGGG